This 709-nucleotide ribosomal RNA is filed under the name Stenotrophomonas maltophilia. RNAcentral describes it as "partial 16S rRNA". The record is from RNAcentral. Lineage: Bacteria; Pseudomonadati; Pseudomonadota; Gammaproteobacteria; Lysobacterales; Lysobacteraceae.
UGGUCCAGGUAGCUGCCUUCGCCAUGGAUGUUCCUCCUGAUCUCUACGCAUUUCACUGCUACACCAGGAAUUCCGCUACCCUCUACCACACUCUAGUCGCCCAGUAUCCACUGCAGUUCCCAGGUUGAGCCCAGGGCUUUCACAACGGACUUAAACGACCACCUACGCACGCUUUACGCCCAGUAAUUCCGAGUAACGCUUGCACCCUUCGUAUUACCGCGGCUGCUGGCACGAAGUUAGCCGGUGCUUAUUCUUUGGGUACCGUCAUCCCAACCGGGUAUUAGCCAGCUGGAUUUCUUUCCCAACAAAAGGGCUUUACAACCCGAAGGCCUUCUUCACCCACGCGGUAUGGCUGGAUCAGGCUUGCGCCCAUUGUCCAAUAUUCCCCACUGCUGCCUCCCGUAGGAGUCUGGACCGUGUCUCAGUUCCAGUGUGGCUGAUCAUCCUCUCAGACCAGCUACGGAUCGUCGCCUUGGUGGGCCUUUACCCCGCCAACUAGCUAAUCCGACAUCGGCUCAUUCAAUCGCGCAAGGUCCGAAGAUCCCCUGCUUUCACCCGUAGGUCGUAUGCGGUAUUAGCGUAAGUUUCCCUACGUUAUCCCCCACGACAGAGUAGAUUCCGAUGUAUUCCUCACCCGUCCGCCACUCGCCACCCAGAGAGCAAGCUCUCCUGUGCUGCCGUUCGACUUGCAUGUGUUAGGCCUACCGCC